CAGAUAAGACUGCCCUAUCCUUCCUCUGUCCUGACCAUACCAGUCUAUACUUACGAUUACAAACAUGAGGUCGUUAGCAUUUGUUCUCCUCACAGUCUGCGUCCUAGGGAGCGUCACCGCAAAAUCGUUGGAAUCGAAAUCUCUGCUAGACACGAUCCUCGGGCAUCACGGCUGUCAAGGUGGCGUUGGCUUGGUAAACUGUUUUGUAGACCCAUGUAUGGUAGCACGAUGUUCUAACACAGCUGCAGUGCAUUGCGUUUCCAACUACUGUGGUGGCUGUCAUGCUGACUGGGAGGACGUGAACGGUAUGGCUGUUACCUGCUAGGUAACGUUCUUGACGGAACUGCUACAUGUAGAUUCAACACAGCCAAAUACUACACUUGACAACUGUUAAUGCCGUUUGUCUUUUGUCAUAUUUUUCGACUUUUAUAAAAUAUCGUUUUUAAA
Mizuhopecten yessoensis (Yesso scallop) is the source of this 447-nucleotide long non-coding RNA. RefSeq lists it as uncharacterized. The record is from RefSeq and is a predicted model, not a curated record. NCBI's taxonomy places the organism in Eukaryota, Metazoa, Mollusca, Bivalvia, Pectinida, Pectinidae. The transcript is spliced from 4 exons.